RNAcentral lists this ribosomal RNA (491 nucleotides) under uncultured bacterium. RNAcentral's name for it is "partial 16S ribosomal RNA". It matches the Rfam family "Bacterial small subunit ribosomal RNA", at positions 29 to 506 of the family's 1533-position model. The record is from RNAcentral.
AUUGAACGCUGGCGGCAUGCUUUACACAUGCAAGUCGAACGGUAACAGGCCUUUGGGUGCUGACGAGUGGCGAACGGGUGAGUAAUGCAUCGGAACGUGCCCAGAGGUGGGGGAUAACGCAGCGAAAGCUGUGCUAAUACCGCAUGUGAUCUGAGGAUGAAAGCGGGGGACCAGGCAGCAAUGUUUGGCCUCGCGCCUUUGGAGCGGCCGAUGUCAGAUUAGGUAGUUGGUGGGGUAAAGGCCUACCAAGCCGACGAUCUGUAGCUGGUCUGAGAGGACGACCAGCCACACUGGGACUGAGACACGGCCCAGACUCCUACGGGAGGCAGCAGUGGGGAAUUUUGGACAAUGGGCGCAAGCCUGAUCCAGCAAUGCCGCGUGCGGGAAGAAGGCCUGCGGGUUGUAAACCGCUUUUGUACGGAACGAAAAGGCUCUGGCUAAUACCUGGGGCUGAGGACGGUACCGUAAGAAUAAGCACCGGCUAACUACGU